Molecule: ribosomal RNA, 253 nt
Filed under: uncultured bacterium
Lineage: Bacteria
Description: partial 16S ribosomal RNA
Rfam family: Bacterial small subunit ribosomal RNA
Source: RNAcentral
UACGUAGGGUGCAAGCGUUGUCCGGAAUUAUUGGGCGUAAAGAGCUCGUAGGCGGUUUGUCGCGUCUGCUGUGAAGACUCGGGGCUUAACCCCGGGCCUGCAGUGGGUACGGGCAGACUAGAGUGCGGUAGGGGAGACUGGAAUUCCUGGUGUAGCGGUGAAAUGCGCAGAUAUCAGGAGGAACACCGGUGGCGAAGGCGGGUCUCUGGGCCGUAACUGACGCUGAGGAGCGAAAGCGUGGGGAGCGAACAGG